This 893-nucleotide long non-coding RNA is filed under the name Cavia porcellus (domestic guinea pig). Its description in RNAcentral is "lncRNA (ENSCPOG00000038598.1)". Lineage: Eukaryota; Metazoa; Chordata; Mammalia; Rodentia; Caviidae. The record is from RNAcentral.
CUCAAAGCAGGGCCUAUGGACCUUCCUUCCACAUACAGUAUUUGCUGAAUAGUUAUUUUUAACUGUGGCGUGCAGGCUGCUGGAGGUGGGAUCCGAAGCCAAGUCUAACAUAGGGCCAAAGGGUUAGGUGACACCAGCCUCAGCUACAAUGGGUGGCCCGUGGGGAUGAGGCGGGGCUGUUCUGCCACGCAGCAGCUCAGCCGCCACCUGUCGACCAAGAGCCCGCGCCCGGGUCUCCAGCUGGGAGCGAGUCACAUGGGCCCCAGCGUCUAGCCCAGAUCAGGAUCCUCGCAGACGCCAACGCGGGCAAAACAGGAAGGGUGAAAAAUGUGUCUCCACAGAAGACCUGAGAUAUGUCAUUUUUCCUUUCCCUGUAACAAGGUAACAAUCUCCCACACUGAGUUUGAGGAAGGAUUAAGAAGCUUAAUAUCUAAAGAUGUUUAACAACUGAGGUUUGGAGACCUACAAUUAGAGAGACAGAUGGUCUAAGAAGACAAACAGUAUUUUGUCCCUAGUUCUCCAAGGUCAAUGAGGACCCAUGACGGAAGAGAACCUCUGCUGCAUCAUUCUAUAUUAAGUGAGUCCCUAGUCUUCUGACCAAGAAGACUGUGAGACCACUGAGGAAACUGAUGAUCAUUGGUGUGUGGUCUGCCUAAGGAGAGUCACCAGGAGCAAAAAUCUCCCAAGCGUUCACAGACUCAUCCAAACAGCUGACACUGAUGGAAGAACUAAGAGGUGUCAUAGCUGGUUCCAAGAUGUCACCAUGCAUCUGCUGUGCCCCAUAGCUGGCAACCGAAACAUGACUUCUGAGAACAUACUGUUGGGGGCUAAAUUUGGUGAGUUUGGGGCUGUGGCCGGGGUAUUCUUGUAUACCCUACUGACUCAUUUCUCUU